GCAGAGUAGCUAAGGCGCGUUAAGUGUUGCGAAACGGGACGUUGUUCGCAAACGAAAGGAAUUUCCUGCGGUGCCGAGGCGCGUCCGUUG
This 90-nucleotide non-coding RNA is filed under the name chicken gut metagenome. RNAcentral describes it as "THF riboswitch". It matches the Rfam family "THF (Tetrahydrofolate) riboswitch aptamer". Rfam says of the family: THF riboswitch presents a pseudoknot that joins P1-P2 and the loop of P3 and two THF binding. The record is from RNAcentral.